Molecule: long non-coding RNA, 4257 nt
Organism: Oncorhynchus tshawytscha (Chinook salmon)
Lineage: Eukaryota; Metazoa; Chordata; Actinopteri; Salmoniformes; Salmonidae
Source: Ensembl
AUAUAUAUAUAUUUUUUAAAGCAAUAUGCACAUGUUUAUUGUGUGAUAUUUACAUAUCUACAGUAUGACACAGCACUACGCUGUGAUGAUGCACGCUGACACAGAUUGCACCGCUAUGGGUUAGUUAGGCCACAGUGGCAGGUUACCAUGGUGUUUAGACUCUAGACCAAAGGGGUGGGUAACCCUGCUCUUGGAGGGCUGCAGGCACUUCAUGUUUACGACUUAACCAACCUGGAAGACCAGAUGUGUUGAAUAUAGGCAAUCACUUGAACUGAUCCAUUAACUAAGUGUCACGGUGUGGUGCCGAGUCGGGACAAAAUGCUGCAGCACCUACAACACCCCAGGAAAAUGGUUCCCUACCCUCGACCAUGUCAAGUAUAGCUACAGUAUAAUAUACAUCUUUUGGCUUCAUGAAGGAUGGUAGAACAAUGUGAACAAUGCAACAUUCAGAGUACCAUGACUGAGAGACACGGGAACAGACAGCAGACAGUUCUUUUGUUGAUCGAGGACUCUCUAGUCCCGUUUAUACCUGGCGCUAGCAUACGUCCUUUUUGUCCUGAUCUUGUCCUCAUUCUAAUUGAGCACAGAGAGAUAGAGACAGAGAGAGGGACAGAGAGAGAGAGACAGAAAGAGAGACAGAGAUAGAAAGAGAAAGAGAGAGAGACAGAGAGAGGGACAGAGAGAUAGAGACAGAGAGAGGGACAGAGAGAUAGAGACAGAGACAGAGAUAGAAAGAGAAAGAGAGAGACGGAGAAAUAUGGAUGUAGUGGGUGUUCUUGGUUAGGAGAGAUAGUGUAAAGAUCAGAUCACUGAUAACCUUUUGGCUUUAUUAUGUUCUCUCUGUGUAGAGGAUAUAGGAUACAGAGACACACAGGGGAGGAAGAAGCCCUGCUAGUGUAAACCUCUUACUGUCAACAGGGAGAGUAGAUCCCUAGAUCCCGUGCAUAGAGAGACUAUUCCUAUCUCUCUGAGGGUAAGUAGAUCCCUAGAUCCCAUGCAUAGAAAGACUGUUCUUAUCUCUCUGAGGGACAGUAGAUCCCUAGAUCCCAUGCAUAGAAAUACUGUUCCCAUCUCUCUGAGAGACAGUAGAUCCCUAGAUCCCAUGCAUAGAAAUACUGUUCCUAUCUCUCUGAGGGUAAGUAGAUCCCUAGAUCCCAUGCAUAGAAAUACUGUUCCUAUCUCUCUGAGGGACAGAGGAUCCCUAGAUCCCAUGCAUAGAAAUACUGUUCCUAUCUCUCUGAGGGACAGUAGAUCCCUAGAUCCCAUGCAUAGAAAUACUGUUCCUAUCUCUCUGAGGGACAGUAGAUCCCUAGAUCCCAUGCAUAGAAAGACUGUUCCUAUCUCUCUGAGGGUAAGUAGAUCCCUAGAUCCCAUGCAUAGAAAGACUGUUCCUAUCUCUCUGAGGGUAAGUAGAUCCCUAGAUCCCAUGCAUAGAAAGACUGUUCCUAUCUCUCUGAGGGACAGUAGAUCCCUAGAUCCCAUGCAUAGAAAGACUGUUCCUAUCUCUCUGAGGGUAAGUAGAUCCCUAGAUCCCAUGCAUAGAAAUACUGUUCCUAUCUCUCUGAGGGACAGUAGAUCCCUAGAUCCCAUGCAUAGAAAGACUGUUCCUAUCUCUCUGAGGGACAGUAGAUCCCUAGAUCCCAUGCAUAGAAAGACUGUUCCUAUCUCUCUGAGGGUAAGUAGAUCCCUAGAUCCCAUGCAUAGAAAGCCUGGUUGCAACCUGAAAGGUUAUCACUGUUGUGUCUAUGGUGCCUAAAGCAUCUCCUGAUGUAUUUGAACAUCCCCAGCCCACACUGUUAUAGGAAGAGACAAUAGAUAGAACAUGAGGAAAGAGGUGGAGGAGAGACAGGCAGAGAAAGAGGUGGAGGAGAGACAGGCAGAGAAAGAGGUGGAGGAGAGACAGGCAGAGAACGAGGUGGAGGAGAGACAGGCAGAGAAAGAGGUGGAGGAGAGACAGGCAGAGAAAGAGGAGGAGGAGAGACAGGCAGAGAAAGAGGUGGAGGAGAGACAGGCAGAGAACGAGGUGGAGGAGAGACAGGCAGAGAACGAGGUGGAGGAGAGACAGGCAGAGAAAGAGGUGGAGGAGAGACAGGCAGAGAAAGAGGAGGAGGAGAGACAGGCAGAGAAAGAGGAGGAGGAGAGACAGGCAGAGAACGAGGUGGGGGAGAGACAGGCAGAGAAAGAGGAGGAGGAGAGACAGGCAGAGAACGAGGUGGGGGAGAGACAGGCAGAGAACGAGGUGGGGAGAGACAGGCAGAGAAAGAGGAGGAGGAGAGACAGGCAGAGAAAGAGGAGGAGGAGAGACAGGCAGAGAAAGAGGUGGGGGAGAGACAGGCAGAGAACGAGGUGGAGGAGAGACAGGCAGAGAACGAGGUGGGGGAGAGACAGGCAGAGAAAGAGGAGGAGGAGAGACAGGCAGAGAAAGAGGUGGAGGAGAGACAGGCAGAGAAAGAGGUGGAGGAGAGACAGGCAGAGAAAGAGGUGGAGGAGAGACAGGCAGAGAAAGAGGUGGAGGAGAAACAGGCAGAGAAAGAGGUGGAGGAGAGACAGGCAGAGAAAGAGGAGGAGGAGAGACAGGCAGAGAAAGAGGUGGAGGAGAGACAGGCAGAGAAAGAGGUGGAGGAGAGACAGGCAGAGAAAGAGGAGGAGGAGAGACAGACAGAGAAAGAGGUGGAGGAGAGACAGGCAGAGAAAGAGGUGGAGGAGAGAGAUGUGCUAAUGCUGCUGCUAUCUGGUGGUGGCUAACCUGCACUGCAGGUAAAACACAAUAGAGUAGGGGUGGGUGGAUGGAUGGGGACAUUUCACAAUGAAACCCGUACACACACACCAUUAUAUUCUAUGAGUAUAAUUCUAAAAUAAACAUAUAUAAUAGAACACAUAUCUUCUUUUACACAUUUCAUCAUAUCAAGACAUAAUCCAGAUGACUUUACACAUCAACAAAAAAAAAACAUUAGUAAUGCUGGAAUAUGAGCUGCCUAAUAAAAGCCUGAUAAUGCCAUUGGGGUGGGAAACCGUUCAGAUCAGCACAGAGGAUAACGCUUUAAAGUCUCUCACUCCAAUGAUUCCUUGUUACAGUCCAAACCCUACUUUCCCUUGAGACGUACAGUGUAGUAAAAAAACAAACAAAAAAAAGAAGCAUUUCCCAGCAUUCCAAGGACCAGAGUCACAUCAUAAUGGUAAUGCAUUUUGUGUCACAAUGACCAGCAUCAACACACAGAAGAACCACAGGAAGACAGCAGGAGUGCACGCAGGAGUGCACGCAGGAGUGCACGCAGGAGUGCACGCAGGAGUGCACGCAGGAGUGCACGCAGGAGUGCACGCAGGAGUGCACGCAGGAGUGCACGCAGGAGUGCUCACCACAGCAAAACGUUAUGCAGCUGAAGAAAGCGAAAGGUCGUCCCAUCCUGUUUCAGUUCAGAUUGUUUUUCCGUUUAGUGCCUAAUGAAUAUGACCCACGGGACAGGGGAUACCUCUUCAUUAUAGUUAUAUACCCUGAUAAUUUAAUAUGUUUUGUUCCCCAAUAUAAUAUUUAGAAUAAUAUAUACAUCACGUAUGUACUUUGUAAUCAUGUCAUAUUAUAUUAUGGAGCAUCUAUGGAUAUGGCUGUGCCGUGUGUGUGUGUGUGUGUGUGUGUGUGUGUGUGUGUGUGUGUGUGUGUGUGUGUGUGUGUGUGUGUGUGUGUGUGUGUGUGUGUGUGUGUGUGUGUGUGUGUGUGUGUGUGUGUGUGUGUCUUGCCAGCCGCUCUCCUCCCAGUGGUAAACCACCUCCCAGACGUCACCACUUCAACAACCACCGUACAGAACUUUCAUCAACACGUUGAGAAGUUGAUACACCUGUCAGUCAAGGUCUGGGGGAUUCAGACACGGCAAAGCAGGUCCUUGUGACAGUGCAUUCUCCUGACAUUACUCCCAUUCUCCUGACAUUACUCCCAUUCUCCUGACAUUACUCCCAUUCUCCUAACAUUACUCCCAUUCUCCUAACAUUAAUCCCAUUCUCCUAACAUUAAUCCCAUUCUCCUGACAUUACUCCCAUUCUCCUAACAUUACUCCCAUUCUCCUAACAUUAAUCCCAUUCUCCUGACAUUAAUCCCAUUCUCCUAACAUUAAUCCCAUUCUCCUGACAUUAAUCCCAUUCUCCUAACGUUAAUCCCAUUCUCCUGACAUUAAUCCCAUUCUCCUGACAUUACUCCCAUUCUCCUAACAUUAAUCCCAUUCUCCUAACAUUAAUCCCAUUCUCCUGACAUUAAUCCCAUUCUCC